RNAcentral lists this transfer RNA (82 nucleotides) under Xenopus tropicalis (tropical clawed frog). RNAcentral's name for it is "Xenopus (Silurana) tropicalis (western clawed frog) tRNA". It matches the Rfam family "tRNA". From Rfam's summary of the family: Transfer RNA (tRNA) molecules are approximately 80 nucleotides in length. Their secondary structure includes four short double-helical elements and three loops (D, anti-codon, and T loops). Further hydrogen bonds mediate the characteristic L-shaped molecular structure. tRNAs have two regions of fundamental functional importance: the anti-codon, which is responsible for specific mRNA codon recognition, and the 3' end, to which the tRNAs corresponding amino acid is attached (by aminoacyl-tRNA synthetases). tRNAs cope with the degeneracy of the genetic code in two manners: having more than one tRNA (with a specific anti-codon) for a particular amino acid; and 'wobble' base-pairing, i.e. permitting non-standard base-pairing at the 3rd anti-codon position. The record is from Rfam by way of RNAcentral. Lineage: Eukaryota; Metazoa; Chordata; Amphibia; Anura; Pipidae.
GGUAGCGUGGCCGAGUGGUCUAAGGCGCUGGAUUUAGGCUCCAGUCUCUCUGGUGGCGUGGGUUCAAAUCCCACUGCUGACA